UCCGGAGCUAACGCGUUAAAUCGACCGCCUGGGGAGUACGGCCGCAAGGUUAAAACUCAAAUGAAUUGACGGGGGCCCGCACAAGCGGUGGAGCAUGUGGUUUAAUUCGAUGCAACGCGAAGAACCUUACCUGGUCUUGACAUCCACAGAACUUGCCAGAGAUGGCUUGGUGCCUUCGGGAACUGUGAGACAGGUGCUGCAUGGCUGUCGUCAGCUCGUGUUGUGAAAUGUUGGGUUAAGUCCCGCAACGAGCGCAACCCUUAUCCUUUGUUGCCAGCGGUCCGGCCGGGAACUCAAAGGAGACUGCCAGUGAUAAACUGGAGGAAGGUGGGGAUGACGUCAAGUCAUCAUGGCCCUUACGACCAGGGCUACACACGUGCUACAAUGGCAUAUACAAAGAGAAGCGACCUCGCGAGAGCAAGCGGACCUCAUAAAGU
This 437-nucleotide ribosomal RNA is filed under the name Klebsiella quasipneumoniae subsp. quasipneumoniae. Its description in RNAcentral is "bacterial SSU rRNA". It matches the Rfam family "Bacterial small subunit ribosomal RNA", at positions 845 to 1282 of the family's 1533-position model. The record is from RNAcentral. Lineage: Bacteria; Pseudomonadati; Pseudomonadota; Gammaproteobacteria; Enterobacterales; Enterobacteriaceae.